RNAcentral lists this ribosomal RNA (221 nucleotides) under uncultured prokaryote. RNAcentral's name for it is "partial 16S ribosomal RNA". It matches the Rfam family "Bacterial small subunit ribosomal RNA", at positions 524 to 744 of the family's 1533-position model. The record is from RNAcentral.
UACAGAGGUCUCAAGCGUUGUUCGGAAUCACUGGGCGUAAAGGGUGCGUAGGCCGCACGGAAAGUCAGAGGUGAGAUCCCGGAGCUCAACUUCGGAAUUGCCUCCGAUACUCCCGUGCUUGAGGACUGGAGAGGAGUCUGGAAUUCACAGUGGAGCAGUGAAAUGCGUAGAUAUUGUGAGGAACACUAGUGGCGAAGGCGAGACUCUGGACAGUUCCUGAC